GUUGUUGGGUAGGGGAGCGUUCUGUAAGCCUGUGAAGGUGGCCUGUGAGGGUUGCUGGAGGUAUCAGAAGUGCGAAUGCUGACAUAAGUAACGAUAAAGCGGGUGAAAAGCCCGCUCGCCGGAAGACCAAGGGUUCCUGUCCAACGUUAAUCGGGGCAGGGUGAGUCGACCCCUAAGGCGAGGCCGAAAGGCGUAGUCGAUGGGAAACAGGUUAAUAUUCCUGUACUUGGUGUUACUGCGAAGGGGGGACGGAGAAGGCUAUGUUGGCCGGGCGACGGUUGUCCCGGUUUAAGCGUGUAGGCUGGUUUUCCAGGCAAAUCCGGAAAACCAAGGCUGAGGCGUGAUGACGAGGCACUACGGUGCUGAAGCGACAAAUGCCCUGCUUCCAGGAAAAGCCUCUAAGCAUCAGGUAACAUCAAAUCGUACCCCAAACCGACACAGGUGGUCAGGUAGAGAAUACCAAGGCGCUUGAGAGAACUCGGGUGAAGGAACUAGGCAAAAUGGUGCCGUAACUUCGGGAGAAGGCACGCUGAUAUGUAGGUGAAGCGACUUGCUCGUGGAGCUGAAAUCAGUCGAAGAUACCAGCUGGCUGCAACUGUUUAUUAAAAACACAGCACUGUGCAAACACGAAAGUGGACGUAUACGGUGUGACGCCUGCCCGGUGCCGGAAGGUUAAUUGAUGGGGUUAGCGGCAACGCGAAGCUCUUGAUCGAAGCCCCGGUAAACGGCGGCCGUAACUAUAACGGUCCUAAGGUAGCGAAAUUCCUUGUCGGGUAAGUUCCGACCUGCACGAAUGGCGUAAUGAUGGCCAGGCUGUCUCCACCCGAGACUCAGUGAAAUUGAACUCGCUGUGAAGAUGCAGUGUACCCGCGGCAAGACGGAAAGACCCCGUGAACCUUUACUAUAGCUUGACACUGAACAUUGAGCCUUGAUGUGUAGGAUAGGUGGGAGGCUUUGAAGUGUGGACGCCAGUCUGCAUGGAGCCGACCUUGAAAUACCACCCUUUAAUGUUUGAUGUUCUAACGUUGGCCCGUAAUCCGGGUUGCGGACAGUGUCUGGUGGGUAGUUUGACUGGGGCGGUCUCCUCCUAAAGAGUAACGGAGGAGCACGAAGGUUGGCUAAUCCUGGUCGGACAUCAGGAGGUUAGUGCAAUGGCAUAAGCCAGCUUGACUGCGAGCGUGACGGCGCGAGCAGGUGCGAAAGCAGGUCAUAGUGAUCCGGUGGUUCUGAAUGGAAGGGCCAUCGCUCAACGGAUAAAAGGUACUCCGGGGAUAACAGGCUGAUACCGCCCAAGAGUUCAUAUCGACGGCGGUGUUUGGCACCUCGAUGUCGGCUCAUCACAUCCUGGGGCUGAAGUAGGUCCCAAGGGUAUGGCUGUUCGCCAUUUAAAGUGGUACGCGAGCUGGGUUUAGAACGUCGUGAGACAGUUCGGUCCCUAUCUGCCGUGGGCGCUGGAGAACUGAGGGGGGCUGCUCCUAGUACGAGAGGACCGGAGUGGACGCAUCACUGGUGUUCGGGUUGUCAUGCCAAUGGCACUGCCCGGUAGCUAAAUGCGGAAGAGAUAAGUGCUGAAAGCAUCUAAGCACGAAACUUGCCCCGAGAUGAGUUCUCCCUGAGACUUAGAGUCUCCUGAAGGAACGUUGAAGACGACGACGUUGAUAGGCCGGGUGUGUAAGCGCAGCGAUGCGUUGAGCUAACCGGUACUAAUGAACCGUGAGGCUUAACCUUACAACGCCGAAG
Molecule: ribosomal RNA, 1740 nt
Filed under: Escherichia coli
Lineage: Bacteria; Pseudomonadati; Pseudomonadota; Gammaproteobacteria; Enterobacterales; Enterobacteriaceae
Description: partial 23S ribosomal RNA
Rfam family: Bacterial large subunit ribosomal RNA
Source: RNAcentral